UACAGAGGAUGCAAGCGUUAUCCGGAAUGAUUGGGCGUAAAGCGUCUGUAGGUGGCUUUUUAAGUCCGCCGUCAAAUCCCAGGGCUCAACUCUGGACAGGCGGUGGAAACUACCAAGCUGGAGUACGGUAGGGGCAGAGGGAAUUUCCGGUGGAGCGGUGAAAUGCGUAGAGAUCGGAAAGAACGCCGGCGGCGAAAGCGACUCUCUGGUCGGAAUCUGACGCUGAGGUGCGAAAGCUAGGGGAGCAAACGGGG
This 254-nucleotide ribosomal RNA is filed under the name uncultured bacterium. RNAcentral's name for it is "partial 16S ribosomal RNA". It matches the Rfam family "Bacterial small subunit ribosomal RNA", at positions 524 to 777 of the family's 1533-position model. The record is from RNAcentral.